UACGAAGGGUGCGAGCGUUAUUCGGAUUUAUUGGGCGUAAAGGGUUCGUAGGCGGGAGGAUAAGUUAAGUGUGAAAUAUCUGGGCUUAACCCAGACAGUGCAUUUAAAACUGUUUUUCUUGAGUUCUAAAGAGGGUGGUGGAAUUGCUGGUGUAGGAGUGACAUCCGUAGAGAUCAGCAGGAACAUCGGAGGCGAAGGCGGCCACCUGGUUAGAUACUGACGCUGAGGAACGAAAGCAUGGGGAGCAAACAGG
Molecule: ribosomal RNA, 253 nt
Filed under: uncultured bacterium
Lineage: Bacteria
Description: partial 16S ribosomal RNA
Rfam family: Bacterial small subunit ribosomal RNA
Source: RNAcentral